UCGAACGUAAGAUGACUGUAGGUGAAAGCUUACAUCUCUUCGGAGCAUUUACGAGGUGCUGCAUGGUUGUCGUCAGCUCGUGCCGUGAGGUGUCGGGUUAAGUCCCAUAACGAGCGCAACCCCUACCUUUAGUUGCCAUCAGGUUAAGCUGGGGACUCUAAAGGAACUGCCUACGCAAGUAGUGAGGAAGGCGGGGAUGACGUCAAAUCAGCACGGCCCUUACGUCCAGGGCUACACACGUGCUACAAUGGCCGAUACAGAGGGCAGCUACCUGGUGACAGGAUGCAAAUCUCCAAAGUCGGUCUCAGUUCGGAUCGGAGUCUGCAACCCGACUCCGUGAAGUUGGAUUCGCUAGUAAUCGCGCAUCAGCCAUGGCGCGGUGAAUACGUUCCCGGGCCUU
This 400-nucleotide ribosomal RNA is filed under the name uncultured Sphingobacteriales bacterium. Its description in RNAcentral is "bacterial SSU rRNA". It matches the Rfam family "Bacterial small subunit ribosomal RNA", at positions 981 to 1382 of the family's 1533-position model. The record is from RNAcentral. Lineage: Bacteria; Pseudomonadati; Bacteroidota; Sphingobacteriia; Sphingobacteriales.